This 878-nucleotide ribosomal RNA is filed under the name uncultured archaeon. RNAcentral's name for it is "bacterial SSU rRNA". It matches the Rfam family "Archaeal small subunit ribosomal RNA", at positions 1 to 879 of the family's 1478-position model. The record is from RNAcentral.
UUCCGGGUUGAUCCUGGCGGAGGUCACUGCUAUCGGUGUUCGAACUAAGCCAUGCGAGUCAAAUGUUCUUCGUGAACAUGGCGUACUGCUCAGUAACACGUGGAUAACCUGCCCUUUAGGACUGGCAUAACCCCGGGAAACUGGGGAUAAUUCCGGAUAGUUCAUGGUAGCUGGAAUGCUCCAUGAUCGAAAGCUAUUGCGCCUAAGGAUGGGUCUGCGGUCUAUCAGGUAGUAGUGGGUGUAAUGUACCUACUAGCCGACGACGGAUACGGGUUGUGGGAGCAAGAGCCCGGAGAUGGAUUCUGAGACAUGAAUCCAGGCCCUACGGGGCGCAGCAGGCGCGAAAACUCUACAAUGCGGGAAACCGCGAUAAGGGGACACCGAGUGCCAGCAUCUUAUGUUGGCUGUCCGCAUGUAUAAAUCACAUGUGUUAGCAAGGGCCGGGCAAGACCGGUGCCAGCCGCCGCGGUAACACCGGCGGCCCGAGUGGUGGCCACUAUUAUUGGGUCUAAAGGGUCCGUAGCCGGUUUGGUCAGUCUUCCGGGAAAUCUGACGGCUUAACCGUUAGGCUUUCGGGGGAUACUACCAGGCUUGGGACCGGGAGAGGUAAGAGGUACUACGGGGGUAGGAGUGAAAUCUUGUAAUCCUCGUGGGACCACCAGUGGCGAAGGCGUCUUACCAGAACGGGUCCGACGGUGAGGGACGAAAGCUGGGGGCACGAACCGGAUUAGAUACCCGGGUAGUCCCAGCCGUAAACUAUGCUCGCUAGGUGUCAGGGACGGUGCGACCGUUUCUGGUGCCGCAGGGAAGCCGUGAAGCGAGCCACCUGGGAAGUACGGUCGCAAGGCUGAAACUUAAAGGAAUUGGCGGGGGAACAC